RNAcentral lists this unclassified non-coding RNA (346 nucleotides) under fungal sp. Its description in RNAcentral is "partial internal transcribed spacer region". The stretch from base 1 to 46 matches the Rfam family "Eukaryotic small subunit ribosomal RNA", at positions 1786 to 1831 of the family's 1831-position model. The record is from RNAcentral. Lineage: Eukaryota; Fungi.
AAGUCGUAACAAGGUAACCGUAGGUGAACCUGCGGUUGGAUCAUUACUAUAUAUAUAUUCUUUGAGCGGGGUAGUCAUACCCUGUCUCUCAGAACAGACCCCCUUGUGAACCAAAAUCUGAAGUUGGUGGCCCGCCGUUCUUAGUACUCUUCUUGAUGUGAAAUUAGGAAGGUGGAAAGGAAAUUCGCUUUUUAAGUGAAGGGCUGCCAGCGCCCCUUUUGGCGUAUGCUGAAAGGUUAUAUACCUAUGCAUAUUUUAAGUCUAUUUUAAGUAAGGCCUUUUGUAAAAGAUUGGCUUAUUUGUUAAUUGAAAGUACAACUUUUGACAAUGGAUCUCUUGGCUCUCC